AGUGAACGCUGGCGGUAGGCCUAACACAUGCAAGUCGAACGGCAGCACAGUAAGAGCUUGCUCUUACGGGUGGCGAGUGGCGGACGGGUGAGGAAUACAUCGGAAUCUACUUUUUCGUGGGGGAUAACGUAGGGAAACUUACGCUAAUACCGCAUACGACCUACGGGUGAAAGCAGGGGAUCUUCGGACCUUGCGCGAUUGAAUGAGCCGAUGUCGGAUUAGCUAGUUGGCGGGGUAAAGGCCCACCAAGGCGACGAUCCGUAGCUGGUCUGAGAGGAUGAUCAGCCACACUGGAACUGAGACACGGUCCAGACUCCUACGGGAGGCAGCAGUGGGGAAUAUUGGACAAUGGGCGCAAGCCUGAUCCAGCCAUACCGCGCGGGUGAAGAAGGCCUUCGGGUUGUAAAGCCCUUUUGUUGGGAAAGAAAAGCAGCAGGUUAAUACCCCGCUGUUCUGACGGUACCCAAAGAAUAAGCACCGGCUAACUUCGU
RNAcentral lists this ribosomal RNA (491 nucleotides) under uncultured bacterium. RNAcentral's name for it is "partial 16S ribosomal RNA". It matches the Rfam family "Bacterial small subunit ribosomal RNA", at positions 29 to 506 of the family's 1533-position model. The record is from RNAcentral.